GACAAGUGGGACUAUCUCUUAAAAGUUCAUUCAACUUUGAUUUUGCGUUUGAAUUUCGUAUCAGAGUAAUUAUGUAGACGCAUUUACAUGAAUUUUUGAAAAUUUUUGGCCAGAAGAAUCCUCACAAAGUUAUAUCUUUUGGACUGACAAGUGACCAAAGAUCUACUUUUGAUACAUUCACAGGACCAAAUUCCUGCACAGUAUCCCCAAGACACUGUCUUUCUAUAAAGACAUUUAUUCGUUGCCUUGGAGUCAGAAACAAUGAAUUGUAUGUCAACUGUUUGCAAGUAUCAUUGUUGGUGCUAUAUUAUUUAAAAACAUAGUGCAUCAAGAUACAUUCACAAUUUCAGCUCGUUUUGCAAUGAAUCACUGACCUUUCUUGAUGUUCCAAGUUGUUGAUUGGCGGUACUUCAGUGCUUUCUUGUGAUUCCUGGAUUUCCUCUGUUUCACUCUCAUACAACAAUUCUUGCUCAACUGGCUCUUCAAGUGCAUUCUGGAACGUAAAUUCUGUUCGCUGUUGGAUAAAGAGUCUUGUCAAGAUAGUAGUCCGUAAAAACUUUUAUUUCACGAAUCUGGAUUGUUGCUGGGGAGCCAAAUUUUUGACUGUUCUGCAAUUUUUCAUAUGUUUUGGUGGCGUAAUUGUGCUCAGCAGAUUUUUUUUGUUUAUUUGCCCCUCCUCGCGAGUCCUAAAAAUGGUCAUUUUGCUUAGCCUGUUGAUUUAAAAUGUGAUAACUGUUUAAUAUAUCUCGUUGUAAUACAGCGUUUGAAAUCUGACCUUUUCUGAUCCAUGUAUGCAUUGCCUAGUUUAUGUGCUUUCUAUUGUAAAUGGAUUUCCGAAAAUCGCAAUUGGUACAUUGCCUUUAUUAUUUUCGAAAACGGGUGGAGCUAUAAAAACACGUAGAGAUGAUGCUUAGGUCCGUUAGUACUUUUGUAAUAAUUAGCGUAAAUUAAAAUUUGUAAAGUAAACUCCAAUGAACACUUUUUUCAGUUACAUAUUGUAUUUUUGCAGUGCCGUACUUUUUGAUGCUAUGCACUCCAUGUAAUCU
Long non-coding RNA from Xenia sp. Carnegie-2017, 1046 nucleotides. RefSeq lists it as uncharacterized. NCBI's taxonomy places the organism in Eukaryota, Metazoa, Cnidaria, Anthozoa, Malacalcyonacea, Xeniidae. The record is from RefSeq and is a predicted model, not a curated record. The transcript is spliced from 4 exons.